RNAcentral lists this transfer RNA (65 nucleotides) under Dipodomys ordii (Ord's kangaroo rat). It matches the Rfam family "tRNA". Rfam says of the family: Transfer RNA (tRNA) molecules are approximately 80 nucleotides in length. Their secondary structure includes four short double-helical elements and three loops (D, anti-codon, and T loops). The record is from Rfam by way of RNAcentral. Lineage: Eukaryota; Metazoa; Chordata; Mammalia; Rodentia; Heteromyidae.
GGUGGCUCAGUGGUAGAGCACUUGCCUGGCAAUGCAUGAAGCCCUGGGUUCCAUUCCCAACACCA